Molecule: long non-coding RNA, 272 nt
Filed under: Mus spicilegus (steppe mouse)
Lineage: Eukaryota; Metazoa; Chordata; Mammalia; Rodentia; Muridae
Description: lncRNA (ENSMSIG00000023122.1)
Source: RNAcentral
AUGUCUAGAAUGAGAAGAGAGAAGAAAAGAAUCAUAGAGAAGGAAGCAACUGAAAGGGUCCCAAGAGGAGGAGGAAAAGGCAGAGGAGCCGAGCAGAGGCAAAGGUGUCAAACAUUCAGCCAAAUUGGAUUCCAAGUGUCCUGUGAUGGAACUCACCUUAGUGGAGUCUACAUUAUGCAUCUUCAUGCCCUGUAUCCCAGCACUUGCAACCUACUUAUGUUUGAUGGUCAACAAUAGAGUAAAUAAAUAUGCAUACAUAUAAAUAUAUAUCA